This is a long non-coding RNA of Cryptotermes secundus, 2377 nucleotides long. RefSeq lists it as uncharacterized. The transcript has 3 exons. The record is from RefSeq and is a predicted model, not a curated record. Lineage: Eukaryota; Metazoa; Arthropoda; Insecta; Blattodea; Kalotermitidae.
AGAAGUUGAUGGCGAGGUUUGGGGCAAGGAAAGGUAGCGAUCGUAGCGAAGUUAUGAAUGAAGAAGAAAUUGGUUGGAGUCUUUUUAUAAUUGAAAUUUUAAAGAGGAAGUUCAGCGUUGUUUUCAGUAUCAAAUAUGAUUUAUCUGGAUUUGGCAUGUUGCAGAAAUAUGCUGAUAUAAUGUUUUGAACGAAAGGGUAAAAUAAUUGUUUCCAUAUACCUUACAGCACGUGUUCGACACGCCUACUUAAAUAGAAACAAAUGUAUACAAUAUCUAGUUUCUUGAAGAAAGAUACCUGCAGUAGGUACAUUGUUAUGUAGAUGUUUAUGAUUUUUUCUUUGUGGGGAUGAAUGGUAUCGAAAAGUUGUGGCUUUUAAAAUAUAGAAUACGGUUUGUGUCCAACUCAAGAAAGGAGCCUGACCUGCCUUGCAGCUGCCGAGCGAAACAAAACCCAAAAGGUUUUGGUGGUGUCAGUGAAGAAUUCAAUGUUUGAAGCUUCUCACUGGCAGAUGGAGUGAAGAGCACUCAAAGGGCUCAUACCUCCUGCAUGACAACUUCAUGGACGCUGAUCACAGGUACCAAAGGAUUUAAGAUAGUGAGUAUCACCCAUGAAUUUCCAGUCCCUAAUUCUGCACAUCUUUCAUGAGACAUUCCAUACUCCAGGUAUGUAUCACUUCCAAUGCCUCAGUGUUAUGGCUGUUUGUUUUUUCCAUCUGCUGCAAUAUUGCAGCUGGGAAAUUGAUUUGAUGGAUAUUGUGUGAGGUAUAUUUGGUAUAUACACAGUUUUGGAAUAUGAUUUUUUCAGAUGACAGUAACUAUUCAGAGAUUUAUUUUACCACAGUGUGAAAUUCUGUGACUAUAAAUAGUAUAUUUCCGCUGGCUUAUUUAUUUAUUUAUUUAUUGGAGGUGUUGAUUGAUUUAUAGAACAUUUCUUAAGGCCUGCUUGAGGACUCGGACACAACUGAGCUAAUACUAUAAGUCCAUUUGCAUCAGCCAGAGCUGCUAUUUCCUCUGAUAGCCUACACAAACAUUUAUGUUUAAAUUAUCACCAUAAUUAAAACUUAAAUAAUUUUUGGAAGACAAGGGAGACAUCUGUGAAGAAAUUGCUGUCCAAGUGAUAAAACAUCCAAGAAGUUCUCCCCAUGCACAUGAUCUGCAAGAAGCCCAUUGAUUUGAGACAGAAUAAGGAAUGACCAGAAAAUUUUUCUUAAACACUGCAUACAAAUGUGGAGCACCCUAGUUGUAGAGGUGUUUAUUGAGACAGUGUUGAGUGGGAAUUCAAAACCGAAGGGAUACCUUGAAGUUGCAGAUUCCCUGGGCACUGUGGUACCUUGAAAGUUACUUAUUGGGUGUGCUUUGAAGACCACAUGUUGGUCUCGCCACGUCUGAAUCAGUUCAAGAGAAACAGUGUUUAAACAAGAGUUUCUAGACACAAAGUUUACAAAUGUGGUGGCCCUCAUUCAUUUUUCUAAUAUUAUGCCAAAAGUUAUAUCUAUGAUUAUACUAAAUAUUUAAUUAUAAGUUAACAAUAAAUAAUAAUGACUAACUUGGCAGGGCAAAGACCUCAACCCACUGGGCAAAACCUGGCAUUUAGCAAGUUUCUGCUGAGUUCCAGAUAACUGUUUGUAACUCCAGCAGAUGGCAAGGAAUUCCUGAACUCUCUUGAUGGUCACACUUGGAAAUGCUUAAAUGAUAUAUACAUCCAUAUCAGUGAUUACAGCGGAAAAAUCCAUUUGAUUAUGGUAUUGAAAUGUGUGGAGUGUGUAACACCAUGAAAAAUAUAUUGGCCUGGUGUCUGGAACACCCAUGUAAAUACCUCUCAGUAAAUGUGUUAACAUCCCUCUGUUAUUCUCUUGUCUGUGUGCAGGUGUCUCAAAUGGUCUCUUCUCUUAAGAUAGUCUGGCUAAAGUGUUGUGUUUUUACUCCUCAUGCAUGCUGCAUGCUCAGUCAAUUUCAUCCUCAUUAAAGUAUUCUAAUAUUUGGUAAAGAAUAGAAAUUAUGAAACACUUCCUUGUGCAGUUUUCUCCAUUAUCCUGUAACAUCCUUCCUCUUAGGUCAAAAUAUUCUCAGUUCUCCUGUUCUCAAACACUCUUAGUCUGUGUUAUUCACAUGGGGUGAGAGACCAAGGUUCAGAGCCAUACAAAAUGUCAUGUAAAAUUGUAGUUUUGUAUAUACAUUGCAUAUACAUAUAUUCAUUUUUACAUUGCUGGCUAGGAUAUGGUAACCCAGAAGAGUCUGUACUAUGUGACAGCAGGCUUUCCACACAUUUAAUAUCCUCUUUAGUUUCUUCUUGAAUGCAGUUUUGUUUUCUUACUGUAUUUCUCUGUAAUUGUUGUAGUAGUUAAUCGUAUUUGGUUUGUAUUCACUGUGGUAGGAU